Hyaena hyaena (striped hyena) is the source of this 656-nucleotide long non-coding RNA. RefSeq lists it as uncharacterized. Lineage: Eukaryota; Metazoa; Chordata; Mammalia; Carnivora; Hyaenidae. The record is from RefSeq and is a predicted model, not a curated record. The transcript has 3 exons.
GAAAAAGUGGUGGCUUCAGAAACUCAAAAAUUCUUUGCAUUUUGUUAUUCUGGAAGAAUCUACUUUAUCAACACACCCACUAGCAGAGGUUCGCAGUAGCUCUGGUAAGUGCGCUGAGGUCCUAGAUUCACUUAGGAUCAGAUGCUUUGGAGAAUGACUUACUCCCCAUUGAGACUGUGAAUCUCUCCUUUCGGGACUACAGGAGGCCCUGAUUCUCCUCACACAAGUGAGGCCUCAUAGAAAGCAUCUUGCAGUUUCUCAGGGUGCAGUCAUGCAGGGCCCGCCUGCUUCCUAUUCUGUGGGCUCAGAAGCCACUCCCCACCCCAAGCCGAUGCAGAGAAACAAAAUGAGGUCUCGAAUGUGCUAAUAAUUUUCACAGCUGAGAAGUAAAUCAGAUGACUUUUUUCCCCCAGAUGAAGUUCAUGUGGUGGUGACAAUUUCCUGUCCCAGAAUGAAUUACAAGGGAAGUAGCUUCUCUUCUGUCUGUGACUGAGAACUUACACAGGCCUCAAGACGAAACUUAGGUGAUGAAAGGGAUAAAUGCAUCUCGGAUCUCAGACAAGGGAUACGGACUCCUCCAUUCCUUCCACCUGAUUGUUGAUCUGAUGUCCCAGGAUGAAGUCAAACAGGUCUAUAAAGCUUCACCUACCUCUCUG